This 583-nucleotide long non-coding RNA is filed under the name Malus domestica (apple). RNAcentral describes it as "long non-coding RNA (MDOM_LNC009466)". The record is from RNAcentral. Lineage: Eukaryota; Viridiplantae; Streptophyta; Magnoliopsida; Rosales; Rosaceae.
CUCACCUCAACUCACCUCAGUAUCUCCUCGCCGAUUUGUCUCUCCUCCCACAUCCGUCGCCUAAAUCCCAAAUCUACCCACACCAGUCGUCAUUCCUCUCAGUCAUCACUCCUCACCUGAAGCGCGCCUUUACCCACUGUCCUUACCAUCCGAAUUCGGCUCCUAAAUCUAGCUUUUGGUCUCAUUCCGCACUCCUCCUCACUGCAAAAGGUAAAAAAUUCCUGCAAUAAACUCAACCAAAGUUCAUAUAAAUUGUUUGAUUCCAAAUUCGAUUAGAAAAUUUGAAUUUGGGUUUCUGAAUUAGGAAUUUCUGAAAUUAGGGUUUCUGAAUUAGGGCUUUUGGAAUUAGUGAUUUUGAAUCGAUGGAGAGGUUGCAGAGGGAAUAUGAGAGGUUAAAGGGGGGAUGAGGGAACCUGACUUAAAUGUUUUCUGAAAUACCUUUUGCAAUCAGAGCUUUUUUCGUAAAUUUUGGCGAGGUACUGAGGUAGGUACCCCAUUCGUUCUUUUCGUAAAAUUUUCAAAUGGAUUUUAGUGAGGUACUCAGGUACCCCAUUCAUUCUUUUCGUAAAUUUUGUCACUGCAG